GACGAACGCUGGCGGCGUGCUUAACACAUGCAAGUCGAGCGGUAAGGCCCUUUCGGGGGUACGACGAGCGGCGAACGGGUGAGUAACACGUGGGUGACCUGCCCUCAGCUCUGGGAUAAGCCUGGGAAACCGGGUCUAAUACUGGAUAUGACUCCAUGACGCAUGUUGUGGGGUGGAAAGCCUUGUGCGGCUGAGGAUGGG
Molecule: ribosomal RNA, 201 nt
Filed under: uncultured bacterium
Lineage: Bacteria
Description: partial 16S ribosomal RNA
Rfam family: Bacterial small subunit ribosomal RNA
Source: RNAcentral